UUAGCUCAUAUUUCUAUGGAAUUGGAUCGUUUGCCUACGUUUGCCUCUAGGGACGCUGUUCCAACUGCAUACAAAAUUGGCCUA
RNAcentral lists this microRNA precursor (84 nucleotides) under Bombyx mori (domestic silkworm). RNAcentral's name for it is "mir-2807 microRNA precursor family". It matches the Rfam family "mir-2807 microRNA precursor family". The record is from Rfam by way of RNAcentral. Lineage: Eukaryota; Metazoa; Arthropoda; Insecta; Lepidoptera; Bombycidae.